UACCUGCAGCCCGAGUGGUGAUCGAUAUUAUUGAGCCUAAAGCGUCCGUAGCCGGACCAGUAAACCCUUGGGUAAAUCGGGCAGCUUAACUGUCCGAAUUCCGAGGGGACUGCUGGUCUUGGAACCGGGAGAGGUCAGAGGUACUCCAGGGGUAGGGGCUAAAUCCUGUAAUCCUUGGGGGACCACCAGUGGCGAAGGCGUCUGACUAGAACGGAUUCGACGGUAAGGGACGAAACCCUGGGGCGCAAACCGGAUUAGAUACCCCCGUA
RNAcentral lists this ribosomal RNA (269 nucleotides) under uncultured prokaryote. RNAcentral describes it as "partial 16S ribosomal RNA". It matches the Rfam family "Archaeal small subunit ribosomal RNA", at positions 474 to 743 of the family's 1478-position model. The record is from RNAcentral.